GACGGAGGGUGCAAGCGUUGCUCGGAAUCACUGGGCGUAAAGGGUGCGUAGGCGGCCACGCAAGUCUGACGUGAAAGCCCCGGGCUCAGCCCGGGAAGGGCGCCAGAGACUGCGGGGCUGGAGUGCCGGAGGGGAGAGUGGAAUUCCCGGUGUAGCGGUGAAAUGCGUAGAGAUCGGGAGGAAUACCGGUGGCGAAAGCGACUCUCUGGACGGCAACUGACGCUGAGGCACGAAAGCGUGGGGAGCAAACAGGA
Molecule: ribosomal RNA, 254 nt
Filed under: uncultured prokaryote
Description: partial 16S ribosomal RNA
Rfam family: Bacterial small subunit ribosomal RNA
Source: RNAcentral